RNAcentral lists this transfer RNA (76 nucleotides) under Bifidobacteriaceae bacterium. RNAcentral's name for it is "tRNA-Asn". It matches the Rfam family "tRNA". From Rfam's summary of the family: Transfer RNA (tRNA) molecules are approximately 80 nucleotides in length. Their secondary structure includes four short double-helical elements and three loops (D, anti-codon, and T loops). The record is from RNAcentral. Lineage: Bacteria; Bacillati; Actinomycetota; Actinomycetes; Bifidobacteriales; Bifidobacteriaceae.
UCCCCCAUAGCUCAAUUGGCAGAGCGACUGACUGUUAAUCAGUAGGUUCCUGGUUCGAGUCCAGGUGGGGGAGCCA